RNAcentral lists this long non-coding RNA (143 nucleotides) under Urocitellus parryii (Arctic ground squirrel). Its description in RNAcentral is "Deleted in lymphocytic leukemia 2 conserved region 6 (ENSUPAG00010003992.1)". It matches the Rfam family "Deleted in lymphocytic leukemia 2 conserved region 6". Lineage: Eukaryota; Metazoa; Chordata; Mammalia; Rodentia; Sciuridae. The record is from RNAcentral.
AAGCUUCGCGRAUUGUCUUUUGCUCCAAGUUAUUUUUGGUGAUUUUUUUUUUUUUUUAGUGUUUUUUCGGCGGAGCGCUAGUGGUACUAUACUUUCAGACAGGUUAUCCCGUCUCUCCCGCUAGAUUGAUGAGAUCAGGCAUC